RNAcentral lists this ribosomal RNA (449 nucleotides) under uncultured bacterium. RNAcentral describes it as "bacterial SSU rRNA". It matches the Rfam family "Bacterial small subunit ribosomal RNA", at positions 30 to 482 of the family's 1533-position model. The record is from RNAcentral.
AUUGAACGCUGGCGGAAUGCUUUACACAUGCAAGUCGAACGGUAGAGGGGGCAACCCCUUGAGAGUGGCGAACGGGUGAGUAAUAUAUCGGAACGUGCCCAGUCGUGGGGAUAACGUAGCGAAAGUUACGCUAAUACCGCAUACGAUCUAAGGAUGAAAGCGGGGGAUCGCAAGACCUCGCGCGAUUGGAGCGGCCGAUAUCAGAUUAGGUAGUUGGUGAGGUAAAGGCUCACCAAGCCAACGAUCUGUAGCUGGUCUGAGAGGACGACCAGCCACACUGGAACUGAGACACGGUCCAGACUCCUACGGGAGGCAGCAGUGGGGAAUUUUUGGACAAUGGACGCAAGUCUGAUCCAGCCAUUCGCGUGCAGGAUGAAGGCCCUCGGGUUGUAAACUGCUUUUGUACGGUAACGAAACGGUGAGCUCUAAUACAGUUUGCUAAUGACGUA